GACGAACGCUGGCGGCGUGCUUAACACAUGCAAGUCGAGCGGUAAGGCCCUUUCGGGGGUACACGAGCGGCGAACGGGUGAGUAACACGUGGGUGACCUGCCCUCAGCUCUGGGAUAAGCCUGGGAAACCGGGUCUAAUACUGGAUAUGACUCCAUGACGCAUGUUGUGGGGUGGAAAGCCUUGUGCGGCUGAGGAUGGGCCCGCGGCCUAUCAGCUUGUUGGUGGGGUGANGGCCUACCAAGGCGACGACGGGUAGCCGGCCUGAGAGGGCGACCGGCCACACUGGGACUGAGACACGGCCCAGACUCCUACAGGAGGCAGCAGUGGGGAAUCUUGCGCAAUGGGCGAAAGCCUGACGCAGCGACGCCGCGUGAGGGAUGACGGCCU
RNAcentral lists this ribosomal RNA (388 nucleotides) under uncultured bacterium. Its description in RNAcentral is "bacterial SSU rRNA". It matches the Rfam family "Bacterial small subunit ribosomal RNA", at positions 28 to 417 of the family's 1533-position model. The record is from RNAcentral.